AGCAAUGUAGCGCUCUCUCUGUGCGUCAUCUCUAUAGGCCACGUUCAUAUCAUCGAAAUCCUGCAUCAUGUAGAAGUUAGGAAAGUGAUCUUGAAAAUAUAAACCAUUCAAAUAUUUAGUCUCGGUGAAAAAUAAAAAUAAAAUUAAAUAAAUGCGAAAAAGUAAAAUGAAAAAAAAAUCAUGGGUUGCCUCCCACACAGCGCUUGUUUAACGUCAUUAGCUUGACGAUUAGAAUUUAUACACCUGUAGUAGUAGGAAUUGGUGGAUCAAUCAGAGUGUGGCUUGAGUAGUAUGCUGGAAUGUCUCCUCCUU
Molecule: long non-coding RNA, 312 nt
Filed under: Lathyrus oleraceus (garden pea)
Lineage: Eukaryota; Viridiplantae; Streptophyta; Magnoliopsida; Fabales; Fabaceae
Description: Pisum sativum (pea) long non-coding RNA (PSAT_LNC028985)
Source: RNAcentral